RNAcentral lists this non-coding RNA (20 nucleotides) under Arabidopsis thaliana (thale cress). The record is from RNAcentral. Lineage: Eukaryota; Viridiplantae; Streptophyta; Magnoliopsida; Brassicales; Brassicaceae. RNAcentral also lists the same sequence under 2 other names.
UUUCUGCCCAGUGCUCUGAA